UGUAGGGUUGGGAUGCAGGGCUGGGAUAUGGGAUGCAGGAUCCAGGAUCCAGGAGCAGGGACCCAUAGGGAUGUGGGAUACAGGGCAGGUUGGGAUACAGGAUUUUCCCACAGGAUUGGAGGCAGGGGGAGAAGGAAAGGAAAACCCAGGAAUUCCAGAAAUUCAUGGAUUUAACUGGAUGGGGUUUGCAUGGAUCCAGCAGAGCCUGGUUCCUGUCAGGGAGGUUUUUUGGGAAUCAAAUCCCACCAGUUUGGAUCAGACUGGUGUUACCAGGCUGGAAUUCCGGCUGUUCCCCAUCCCCCCGAAAGCCAAUUCCAUGGAAAACCCCCCAAAAUCCCACCCCAGGAUCCUCUUUUGUUUGGGGAAAAAACACCGGGACAAAGUUUUGGAGUCACCCAUCCCUCAAUGCCCGGAAAUCCAAAGGGACAAAACCAACCCGAACCCCGGUGUCCCACUCCAGCUCCUCCAUUUCCCCCCUCACGAGGAGUUUUCCAUGAAAAACUGAAACACCAGGAGUCAAAAAUUCCCAAAUCCAUCGUUGCAGGAUGACCCAAUCCAGGACUUUUUCCCAGCCCAAAGUCUGGCUCUUCCCAUCCAUUUUUCCAUGGAAAAACCGUAACCUCCACAUUCCCAAAAUUCAGCUUUCUCAGCAUUCCCGCUUUCCUUAGCCGAGGGCUUUUUCCAUGGUUGAAAGCUCCCAUUGGAUGGGAGUGACCCAUGGAUGAGGCAAGGGAGGAUUUUAGGGAAGUUGGGAAUUCUUUCCCAAAGAUUUUGCGGCUGCAAUGCCUCCUUGGAAAACAAAACGAAACCGGGAUUUCAAAAAUUCCCACAUUUCCACUCCUUCCCAACGGGAAUUUCAGCCCUGGCUGCACAACCUCCGCCCGGAGCCACGAUCCCGUGGGAGAAGGAUAAACGGGAAUAACCCGGAACGCUGCGAGCCAGAUUUGUGAUCCGAAGGCGAAGCUUCCUUGGCAGCCUCCAGAUUCCGCGGGCAAAUCCCGGGAGCAGCUCCCGGCCCAUCAGGCGGCUCCCAGGACAUCGAGGAGACAGGGAGCGACGGAAACGGGGGGAUCCGUGUCCGGCUCGCUCCGAUUUCUCCCGGCUUUUAAUUCCCUGUGAAUCCAACAGCUGGUGAGAGCUCCCUUGGAAUGCCCCAGGGAAUUCCCGGCCUCGGGAAGGGCGGGAAUGAUGCUCCUGCCUCAUCCGGGCGCAUCCACCGGGGCGAUUAUUCCCAAUGUUUUCAUAAAGAAGGAUUUUCCCGCUGCCCCUUGCAAAGCCGGAUCCCUUCCCUCCCUAAAAAAACCAAUCCCUGUUUUCGGACGGAGCUGGCGCCCUCCCGUCCUUCCCAGAUUCCUGAGGGAUCGAUCCAGCCUGGAAAACCAGGUGCAAACCUGAUUCCUGCAGUCCUUUGGGAGCAGCCGGAAUCCAGGGCAGCGCAUUCCGGGUGACGCCAGGUCCCCGAGCCCGGCCCCUGCUGCCCUCUCAUCCCGGAGAUCUCCGGGAUUUUUUUCCGGAUGUCCAUCCCAAUCCUUCACUUCCCAAGGCCUGUCAGGUCCUCUUUGUGUCCAGCGCCUCGCUCCGCCCACGCUGGAGCUUCCAGGAGCCUGAUCCCGGAUUUUUCCUGGAUAUUUCCAUAGAUUUCGGAGCUCUUGGGAGAUCCGGGAAGACAUCCCCUCUCCCAGGGGACAUCGGAACAGGACGAGGAGUCACCAGCAGGAAUAUCCAUCCCGGGAUGUUCCCGCUCCUUCAAAGCAAAACCUUCUCCCAGGAGCUUUUCCAGCUCCAAAAACCGGAGAGGGAAACAUUCCAGCUGGGAGAGGCGGGGAUGAAGGACGGAGCGAAAAGCGGGAGACGAGCAGCGGAAUUCGAAUGAAAAUUCCUGGAUAUCAAAGGGAAGUAAAACCCCAGCAAAUCCCAAAUCCUCCGGCGUUUGCUUGGAAUGCUGCCAGGAGAAGGAGCUUGGGAAAAGGCCACGGAAGGAGCUGCCCCCUCCGCAUUCCGGCGCCGUUCCCGAGGCCUCGGAGCUCAUCGUUCCCGAUCCGGCUCCGUGGCUGCGCUGGCAGCGGGAGACGAGGAACUGGAAUUAAAUCAGGAUGUGGAAGAGUUCCUGCUCCGUGUCCACGAAGGAGGAAUCGGUGGGAAUUGCCAGGCUGGGAAUGUCAGGGAUGGGGGAAGGCGGCUGUUUUUAGGGCAGGGCGGUAAUUCCAGGGAAAUCCAACAUUUUCCAGCUCAAAAUCCAGCUGGGAGCACCUUCUCCUCGUUAGGAAUCCAACCGGCAUCUUUUUCCCACAGAAAUCCCGGGAAUUUCAGGAAUGGCCCAAACUCCACCUGCAAAUCCCAACCAGAGACUUGGGAAAGGGUGGAAAAUCCACGGAAUACCUGGGAAUGACCUUGGAGACGUUGGCAGACAAAAAAUCACCCGGAAAACAGGGUUGGGUCGGAAUUCCCAGCCCUCUGGAGUAGCUCAAAUCCAUCCAGGAGCAAGGGAUGCGGUGAGCUGGAUGAGAAGCUUUUCCUGCAGCCAACAUUCCAAAGAAUUCCUGGAAUGAGCCACCCCCACCCCGCCCCGGCAAAUCCCAUGGGUGACUCCAGGAAGUCGGUCCAGAUCCGGCCACUCCACGUCCCGAGGGAUCACCUUUCCCAAGGCACAGAGAUGGGAAGGAGCUGAGGAGAUCCCGGAUCUCCCAGGAUUCGAUCCCGGGAAAGAGCCGGGAGCUCCGAAAGGCUGGAAAAGAGGAGAGGAAGAGGCAGAAGGAGCCGUUUUUAGGUGGAAAAUCGGCUGGAAUGUCCGGCCUUGGAGCUUCACCGCAGGAUAGGACUCGCCUCGGAUCCGUUCCAGGAGGAAUUUCUCCAUCCUGGGAAUGUUCGGCUGGCGGGAAGCUCCGGAAUCGUUAUCUCCCCCACGAUUUAAUUAAAGUC
Long non-coding RNA from Corvus hawaiiensis (hawaiian crow), 2919 nucleotides. RefSeq lists it as uncharacterized. The transcript has 3 exons. Lineage: Eukaryota; Metazoa; Chordata; Aves; Passeriformes; Corvidae. The record is from RefSeq and is a predicted model, not a curated record.